Molecule: RNA transcript, 880 nt
Organism: Coffea arabica (coffee)
Lineage: Eukaryota; Viridiplantae; Streptophyta; Magnoliopsida; Gentianales; Rubiaceae
Source: RefSeq, a predicted model, not a curated record
UUCACUUGAGACUUCAUACUUUCUAGUCAUCACGGAAGAAAACUAUUUUCAUUUGUGAUGUAAAUGGGCUUCAUGCAGUUUUUGCAUAAUGAGUCUAGCGCUUAAAAAAAACUUUUUUGCGUAAUGAGUUUUCCCAUAGGAUGUCCUGAGCAAGUUCUUGCCUUGAUGGUAAUAUUAUCUUUCUGUGUUGCUCAAAUCGCUGGUAAUUGACAGCUUUCUAGCUUCGGUUACCAUAUUCUAAUAAAGCACUACAUAAUGUGCAAUUCUGAGGAAGUACUUGUUUAUGGAGUACUUGGUUCGUCAAACACUGUAAAGUAGUGUGAGAGUGCUUCUAAUUCUUUUGCAAUAUGUAACCUGCUUUCCCGCUUCGACUCAGCUUAGUUUGCACCUCUGGUUGUACGCGCAGAAUCAUAAAAGAUAUGUGGAAAAAUACUGUACUAGCUGAACCCGUCUUGGCUCAUGGGUUCUUCUAGUCUUCUUGUUAACUAGCGGGAACAUUACUUUCUCUUCGCAGACAGCUUGUGCUUUCGAGUCUUUGUAGGUGUUGUAUGAGAAAAGGAUGGACGUUGUUGGGAGAUGAACGGAGGUCUACAUUUGGGGCAACUCAUAAGAAAUAUGUUAGGAAGAAGAAGUGAAUUGAAGUGUGAAAGCAGCUUUUGACUGCCCAAGAAGCUUUUUUUUUUUUUUUCAUUUUUUUUCUUUUUUGUCCGAGCAACUUUUGGAACCAGAAUUUGAGUUCAUGUGGGCUAACCCGAGGUUUGCUAUCUAGGAAAUACCCGAUAUACCCGAGGUUAGUUCAUAUAAGAUGUGUAUCUGAGGCUUCCAAGCAUUUUCAAUAUGGCAUUUAAUGACACCUAGUGCCGAUAGUUCUAGUGUUAAA